AAAUUAAAGAGUUUGAUCAUGGCUCAGAUUGAACGCUGGCGGCAGGCCUAACACAUGCAAGUCGAACGGUAACAGGAAGCAGCUUGCUGCUUYGCUGACGAGUGGCGGACGGGUGAGUAAUGUCUGGGAAACUGCCUGAUGGAGGGGGAUAACUACUGGAAACGGUAGCUAAUACCGCAUAACGUCGCAAGACCAAAGAGGGGGACCUUCGGGCCUCUUGCCAUCGGAUGUGCCCAGAUGGGAUUAGCUAGUAGGUGGGGUAACGGCUCACCUAGGCGACGAUCCCUAGCUGGUCUGAGAGGAUGGAGAGGAUG
This 314-nucleotide ribosomal RNA is filed under the name Enterobacter hormaechei. RNAcentral's name for it is "bacterial SSU rRNA". The record is from RNAcentral. Lineage: Bacteria; Pseudomonadati; Pseudomonadota; Gammaproteobacteria; Enterobacterales; Enterobacteriaceae.